Myotis myotis is the source of this 4135-nucleotide RNA transcript. RefSeq lists it as uncharacterized. NCBI's taxonomy places the organism in Eukaryota, Metazoa, Chordata, Mammalia, Chiroptera, Vespertilionidae. The record is from RefSeq and is a predicted model, not a curated record. The transcript has 3 exons.
UGUUUGCUUUGCUGGGUGAGGGGUCAUAACUUCCAGACAAUUCUUUAGAGUAUCUGCAACUCCAAACAGGUUUUAAUAACAGGCCUCCAGCUUGGUGUCUCAGGUUCCUUCCAGAUGGAAAAUGAUAUGCUCUCAGGAUGUUGUUGAAGCUUCAUCACUAACGGGCAAACGAAAGGCAGAUGGCUGGUUCCUGGAGGAAUGACCUUGUUGAUCCAGAUCCCACAGUCAACAGCUGAGCUUGGAGGUGACCGGCCGCAUGGAGCGGUUUUCCCGCGGGAAGGCCUGCACUUGCACACCAGCCUGAAGUGUCCCUUUCAGGUCACCAGCCGGCCUGACUCCUUGAUGGGAGGAGACACGGGCAGGUCCCGGACGAAGGUCCACUCUCUGACGCCCCCACCCACCGGGUCAACCCGUCGGGACAAGGAGCAAGACCCUUCAGCUCAUUCUGCACCCCCUCUGCUGCCACAGCUAGGGAGGAGGGGCCCAGGGCCCCAUCCCCGAGAGCCGAGAGCUGUGGCAGUGCCGUGCCAAGUGACAGCCGCUGCGACCUCACCGGGACUCUCCGGCAGUGGAGGCCGCUCCUCCGGAGCCCCCCGCAGCGCACCUGUGCCGCUUCAGAAUUCCCAUCUGCAGUGGCAGAUGAGAGGAACUGAUCCAUGCAAAGGACAGAAGGUUUGACAAGACGUGUGGCAGCCACUGCUGCUCUCCUCCCCCGCCCCGGAGCCGCCGCCCCGCCAAAGAGAAAGACCGGGGAGACAGAAAAAGAAAGAGAAAAAGGCAAGAGGAGAUUUUGUACCCUUAAGCCUCGACAGCCGAAGUUCAAAAGACCAAUCUUUACUGAAAAUAAAUUUAAAGGAGAAUUUUUGAUGUACAUUAUGGUCUCUGGUGGAAGACAAGAGCGCUGCCGGCGGUAUAUGGAGCUAUGCGAAGCCAACGUGGGAUUACUUAAAAGUGUCUGUAGUGCUUUGAUUAACUGGUGUGUAUUUUAUUUUCAUACGACACAAUCACAGGCCUGUAUUGAUAAUAUCUUGCUAUUAUUGUUUGACACUUGAAUCUCCCUUUUUCUUAUGACUUGGAAGCAGGCUUUGUUCAGUCUGGGGCAAGGGGCAAAGGGUCAGGAUGAUCCAAAAGGGGUAAGCGGGAGACGUGCCCACCACCCCAGACUUUUUCCAUGCAAUGCGUGAAAGCACUCAGACCUCUCCUAGGAAGCUAAGCCAUGGGAGCUCAGACGUGGGGACCCGAGGAGCUGGCCAAGGCCACGUGCUGUAAGCAAGCCCAACCCACCUUCUGCCAUUCCCUAGGUGUGUCUGUGAAACACUCCCUCAUGAGGGCACCCUCUGGGAAUAAGGCUCCAUGCCAGACACUAAGCUCCAAACCCACCUUUCUAUGGUUUGCUCUGGGGUGCUGGGCUGGGACUCUGCAAAUUGCAUUUCUCCUUGGCCACUGGGCUCCUGUUUGGUUUUGCCAAUAGGAGGAGCUAGAGCGAGACCUGAAAGCUGGGGGAGGGGAGAAAGGAUUUGUUCCUUCCUAUCCACCUGCUGUUUCUGCCUCUGCUGCCCCAGCACAGGUGCCCUUGCCCAGCGGCAGCAGUGGCUUCCGGGCACCAACUUCCUUUGGCUCUCACAGUACCAACCUCACUGCAGCCCGAGGUCCCAGCACCAGCCAGGCAGGGUCCCCUGGGAAGGCGGAGUCCCAGCUCUGCGGAGCCCUGAGUGACUCUCACCUCCUGAGACAGGAGUGGGCGGGGCGCAGUCAGCUCAAAGCACUGAGCUUGGGGCCCUGCCUUCCAGCUCCGGGGUGUCAGCAGCGCUGCCCCAUUCAGGACUGGAUCCCAGCUCUUCAGGGUCCUGCCUUUGUUCAUCCAGAUCUAGGUAAUAGCUGCUGGCUUCUGCUGAACCAAUCCCUGGUAUAAAAUCAUCUCAGAAGCAAUGCCUGGACCCCAAACAGUAUAUGUUCCUUGAAACAAAGUUGUUCUGAGCAGCGGGCUCCAUUCUCCUUCAUCCGGAAGCAAAGAUGGCGCUGGGGAGUGGCUGGGCUGCAUUCCUGAGGCUCACAGAACCCAGGAGAGUCCCAUGGAGCCAUGCCAGGGAGGAACUGUGAGGGCGGUGGCUGAGAGGACUGCAGAGCCUCACACCGCACUCAGGAGGGCAUGGCCUGCACCUUUAAGAUGUGGCAGGGAUAAAUCCAGUCAGUCCUUUGCUCUUGGAGCCCUUGGGGACAAGGAAAUGGCCACUGGAAUGUAUCUUUGUUUAUAGAACGGACAGAGCAGCUGUUUUCCUUGCUGGCUUUUCCCAGCUGUCACCCCCCCACACACACACACACACACACUGUGGCACUCACAGGGACACACUCAGAGAUUUUUUCUUUCUAAUUUCCAGAGAUCUCUCAAGUGCCAGUCUGACUCCCCCACACUGGCUCCUUGUAUCCCUGCUUUAUACCCACUGAGCUCACCCGCUGCUCCGUGGGGUCCUGCCUGAAGCCUGGGCAGAGAGUUCUGUUGCUGGCCUCAUCCCAUCCACUGGCGGCUGAAAGUGGAAGCAGGGUCUCCGUUAUCCCUGUGCCGCCGGGUGUGCGUCUGAGGCCGGAGGGCACACUCCCGGGCUCAUGGCGAUGGCCUUUCUGCCUUCCCCGCUGCCCUGGCACGGUGUGGGGCCCUUGUGAUCCUUUCAUCCCCCACCCCCACCCCAAGCCGGAUUCUGUCUAAACUUCAGCCAAACCUGGUGCGGAGCCCUCUAUGCCUGAAACACACCUGUGAGCUUCCUUCAACACGGAGCCGUGUGCCCCGCUCACUCGGGCGGAUCCUCUUAGCACAGUGGCGUCAGAAGACCGGCCUCUUACUGGCAGUGUGGUUCUGGCCAAUUGAUGGCUCUCUCUGAGGCCCAGCUUUCUCCCUGUCUAUUUCACAAGGCUGCUGUCGGGUCAAAUACUAUAAUAUACAUGAAAGCAUUCUUUUAAAAUAUAUUUUUAUUGAUUUCAGAAAGGAAGGAAGAGGGAGAGACAGAAACAUCCAUGAUGAGAGAGAAUCAUUGAUUGGCUGCCUCCUGCAUGCCCCCACUGGGGAUCGAGCCCACAACCUAAGCAUGUACCCUUGAUGGGAAUUGAAGCUGGGGCCCUUCAGUCCACCGCCAACGCUCUAUCCACUGAGCCACGCCAGCCAGAGCCAUGAAAGCAUUUUUACACAGGAAAGCCCUGUACAAAUGGGAGGUAACAUCACUGCAACAGUUGCUGUCCAAGCCAUUCACCAUGUUAUUAUCUAAGUCCUCCUUCUGGUGUUUUUGACUCAUCCCCUUUCACUCUGCCUGGUUGGGCGAUGCUGUAGAUUUCUCCCUGGGGCUGCAGUUGCACAGAGGAGGCUGAGGCAGCCACGUGUCUUCAUUCUUGAUUCUCAGAGCCCACAGGGCUCUGGCCCACCCAGCUCCCCUGGGGUGGCCUGGGCUGCCCCUCAGGGGCCAUACUUUCAGGCCUAUCCAGUCCCAACUGUGGAGCCCCUUCUGGAUGGGCUGGCGGGAGCCCCAUCAGUGGCUGCAUGAACCCUAACGGCGUGUGGCCCAUCAUGCAGGUCAGGGUGUCAGGGGAGGAGGCCCGGCCCGACCUCAGAGCUCCCUGAGUUAUUUACUGCCUCUGGCGUCAUGGGCUCAUUUGGGCCUUUGCCCAGCCCUGGGCAAAUGGCUUCACCUCUUCUCCCCCGGGACUCUUCCUUUUCUACCUCACAGGAAUAAAUGAUGGGGAGGGAGAACAAAUUGCAGCACUGCUAUACUGUGCUGUAUACUAAAUUCUGCAGUUAAAAACUACUAUAGAUUGAAGAGAGGUCUCCCGCCUUGAAGGAGCUGUUAAGAAUGGAAACGCUCACCCAUGGGAACAAUGCUAGACCCUACACUCCUGUCCAGCUCGUGCUAAAACAGAGCCACGCAGACGGGCCUCAAAUCGGGAGACGAUUAACGGAAUCAGUGAAUAUUUCUUAGAGAGUGUCAAUUUUUUUUAAAACCUGUGUUUUGCAGAAAAUAAGAAAAUUGAUAAGUGAAAUGAAGAAGAAAAAAUUACCUAUAAUUUCUAUCUGAAGAUAACCACUGUCUACAGGUUGAUAUAUGUCCUUGGAGACGUUUUUGAUGCAUGUAUUUAUAUUCAUGCAAUUCUA